GAGCAGAUAGUUCAGUUGGUAGAGCAUGAGACUCAUAAUCUCAGGGUUGUGGGUUCGAGCCCCGCAUUGGGUGAACUAUUCA
Non-coding RNA from Podarcis lilfordi (Lilford's wall lizard), 82 nucleotides. The record is from the annotation of a GenBank genome assembly. Lineage: Eukaryota; Metazoa; Chordata; Lepidosauria; Squamata; Lacertidae.